UUUAUAUAUUUAUAUAUAUUUAUAUAUGAUUAGAUAACAGUAGAAGAUUAAGAAAACAUCAAUAAAUUAUUUUCUGAUUUGUUUACUUACAAUGAUAAAAGUGACAUUAUCAGGGAUGACUGCUUAGUUAAGCGUUUGAAAAGUAAAGUUAGAUUUCUAUUUAUAAAUUUCAAGACAUGAUUGAAUAUGAACAAUCAAAUCGUGGAAAUACUAAGAAAAUGUGGGUGAAUAUAUAACAUUGGAGUGAGAGAACACUUUUAUGGCAGAAUCUUUAAAGAUUGCUGAGUAUAUAAUGUUUUGACAUAAGUAAUUUAAAGGCAAAUAAUUAGAGCACAAAAGAUAGAAAAGGUAAUAAAUGAAGUCUUAAAUUCAUUCCAGUAAAAAAUAAUUUGUAUCCAGUAAAAAAAAAAAAAAAGCACUCCAAUAGGAAAUGGGUAAUAAAGAUGAAAAAAGGUAGUAUCCAGUAGUUAAAACUACCAUAUUCUUAAGAUGAUAUUUAGUGUUGGUGAAACUGUAGGGGAAUGUAAAACAGAAUAUAGCCUUUCCAGCAAGUAUCAGAUUUUCAAAAUGUGCACAGAUCAUUCACUGUCAUCCUCUUAUUCCUAGAAUACAAAUCAGACUAAUGAACAUGGCUUACAAAAUCCUGAAAGGUUGUGCUCUCGCCUCCUGUCAGUUUGAGCUCCUCCUUAAUUCCUGGUUUAGCUAGGCUGCUCUUCCAAUUCCUGCACCUUCCAGCCCCGGACUUUUUAAAUUGCUGUUCUUUUUGCUGCAAACACACACAGUUUCUUCCUUCUUUGCCUCACUAGCACUAAUGACUCAUCAGAUCUCAGCAUAAUUGCCAAUUCUUUGGGAGGCUUUUCCCUGGAAGCACAGUUUAUUACUUUGCCUUUAACACUGUUGCAGUUUACAUUUAUUUCCUUGUUUCUCUCACCAUAUAGAAGGGAUGAAGUUGGGGAGAACCUGGUAUUUAGUUCAGUCCUGGAUGAGUGCCAGCAGAAGUUUGAAAGGAUGUCAUGCAUGUGUGAGAUUUAGCUUUCCAGAUAUUCAUUGCAUUGUUGGUUACUAGGAAAAAAAUCAGAAUUAGCAGAUGUUCAGCAGAGUGAGCUAUGGCCACAUUUGAACACUGUUUGGGUCCAUGAUUAGGGAUGGCUUAUUUCAAGACUGAUGUAAUUAUUGCAUCCAGAAGAAAGGUCUGGAUUUUAACCUGGGAGCUAAAUAGAUAAACUAUCAAAGCUGGCAGAAAUGCCCCAUGGGUCAGAGCCUAAAGCCAGGUACAGGGUGGGGAGAGGAUGCAGAGUUAAUUGUGAGACUGAUCAGUUUCAUUUCUGUUGGAAGUUGGAGAGAAGAUAAUUGGAGCUGUAGAUCUCACUGGGGGUGGGCAGCAUUGUGGGGACACCCCUCUGGAGGAAAUGAGCAAGUCCCUGCCUCCUAGCAGCAGGGUGGGGCCUAAGGAGAAAGGUCCUGGUUAUAAACUCCUGUGAAGGGAUGUCACAGGUUCUAAGAACACUGAAAUGCGUGAGCCACUGUUAUUUUUCCUACAUUGUUAAUUCCCUUCUGUUAGCCUCACAUUCAUUAAGUCUUUGUCAAGAACUACAGCCCAAUGUGAGCUGUGUUUUGGAUGAUUCAGGGAGGGACUGUGUCCAUACUGGGGCCAGAUGGUACCUAGGUGGCUGGGGUAAUCCAAACACUGGUCUCAAGGCCAGAUUGUGACUAGUAACAACCAGGAUAUAUGUUUCUGGAAUAUAAACACUUCUAGGACUUCUUACAUUAUUAUACAUUACCAUAAAGACUAGACCUACAGUGAGAGGGUCAGAUUUAUGUUAGAUAGGUAAAAGAAAAGGGUGAUCUGGAGGGCUGGAGAAUUGGAGACAUUCACAUCAUACUUUGGUGACAUAAUUAGAUGCCACAGCUCACCAGUAUUGUAACUAUUUUCCUUGGCUCUUUCUACCAUCGCUAUUGAAAUUAGGCUUUUCAAAUUAGUGGCAGGAAAGGCCAUAUUUGGAGCUUCAAAUACACAGUCCCAGUGGCAGUUCUUGCCUCUGUGUUUUUUUGUUGUUGUUGUUUGCUUGUUUGUUUUGAGACGGAGUCUCACUCUAUCGCCCAGGCUGGAGUGCAGUGGCACUAUUUCGGCUCACUGCAACCUCUGCCUCAGCCUCCCAAGUAGCUGGGAUUACAAGCGCCUGCCAACACGCCCAGCUAAUUUUUGUAUUUUUAAUAGAGAUGGGGUUUCACCAUUUUGGCCAGGCUGGUCCUGAACUCCUGACCUCCUGAUCCACCUGCCUCGGCCUCCCAAAGUGCUGGGAUUACAGGCGUGAGCCACUGCGUCCGGCCUUGCCUCACCGUUAAAAGACUACAAUAUGACGUGAUACAUCAGCUUUUUCGAAGUCCAGUGUACGUCAGACCCUGAGGCCUGCAGUAUCUGGAAUGGUGUUGCUGGAUGUGCAAAACUGCCAGGCUCUGGCUUGUGGUGUUCUCAUCUACCAGAUCAUUCCUGGGAGGCCCAAUUUGGCCAGCUGGCUCACCUCUGCCGGUGGUAUUGCUAGCAUUGCACAUUGGAACUGCAGCUUGGGAAAGUGAUAGAAACCAAACACAUGGUGGGUACAAAGCAAGUUUGUUGUAUUUUAUCCACAUUAGUAUUUUGGAUGUUUCAAUAUUUAAACAUUUCAAAAAGCAAAAUCAAUGAUAAUACUUCUUGAAUGUGUUGUGAACAAUGCAAGCCUUUUAUUAAAAAUUAUGGAAUAUUCGAAAGAAAUGUUUUUCUUACAAGAGAGCAGAGAAUAAUUACUCAGGGUUCCUGUGUCAAAGCCUCUAGGGCCCCUUUACUGUCCAGAAUUCUUAGUAAGUGGAAAACCUUUCCCAAGCACAAUGAAGUCUCAACCCUGAUACGGGCAGGACAGCAAAAGACCUGUCUCCUCUUUCCAGAGCAAACCCCAGUGGUUGCACCUGUCCUCCCAUUACACUUUGGGGAUAAACCCUGGAGGCCAUAGUGUAGGGGACCAGUUUCAUGGGUCUUGUUGCCAAAGCUUACUUUUUUGAUCCUACUGCUAAAUUCUGACCCUUCCUCCAAUUGAUCUGCUUUCCAAAAAGAGCAUACCAACACCUGCACAAACCAUUUGAUGUGGUGCAGUAAGCUGUUUCAUCCAAGUGUUCCAAAGCCAUAGGAUGAGCAAGGGGGAAAAACUUAGACCUGUAUAGGAUCUUCCCCCAGGUAGUUACUCUUUCACAGGGGGUGCAUGGGAGACAGGCUGCUGUUGUGCCAUCCUUUCCAUUACAUAAUGAUAACAACUGUUACUUGGAAUGCUUUAAUGCUUGAUGUUAUUUAUGUUUAAAUAUUUGCUGUAUUCCUGGCUCUGUGCUAAAUGCUAUGCCUGCAUCUUAAAAAAUCCUUAAAAUAACUCAAGGUAGGUACCAUUGUUGCUUCCAUUCUCCAGAUGGGACACUAAGACUUUAAGAAGUUAAAUAGCUCACCUGAAAACACACAGCUAGUAAGUAACACAAUGGAGACUUGAACCCAAGUCUAUUCUACUCUAGACCAUGGACUCCAAGAUUAAUUAAUUAUGCAAAUAAGGAAUGUGGAGAGUUCAGCCUUGAGCAAAGGGAGAUUAGCUUGUUUUGCACCAACUCUUCUGCUGAGGAAAGGACAAAAGCCAGAAUAUACAUACCUAUUCAGGGAUCAGAGGGCUGUUGAGAAAGCAAGGGCUAAUAUUCGAGAGACCUACAUUUGAUACUGUUCGUUUCCCCCUCAAGGGACUUGCUAAUUCAAGGGCAGGGGCUGAGAAACUGAACAGAAUUUGUAGAAGACUAAUGCAGACCAAAAAUUAGAGUUGGGGUCCAAGUAGAAGCAGCCCUGGAAAACACCCCAGACUUUCUCGUGGGACCCCAAAGAGCUACUCUUUGAUUAAAGGUGAAUUGGUUAUGGGCCUGUCCUCACAAGGACUGAAGCCCAGCCUCAGAUCUAGUGGAUAGCCAGAAGCAAAAACAAAGCCCCUCUGAAGGAGGACAUGGUCUAAUUUCUCAAAUUUUCUCUAUUAAUUGUUUUCAAAGUCUGCUUAAGAAAUAGGAAUGCAAAAACACAAGAUUCGACCAACAAUGAGAAAGUGAACAAUAGAAACAGACCUCCAGGAAAUUCACGUAGUUAACAUUAUCUGACCGGUGUCUUACAAUAACUAUGAUUAAAAUGUUCAUGAAUUAAAUGACCAAAUGGAACAACUUCAGGAGAGAACUGGACACUAUGUUUAAAAUUCUAGAAUUGAAAAAUAAUAUAACAAUUUAAGAAAUCAGUAGAUGGCUCUGAUAGACACAACUUAAGAGAUAGGUAAUGAAAUGAAAGAUAAGAAAAUAUCCAGACUGGUGCUGGGGGUAAAUAGGAAGACAACUAUUCGAAGAGUUAAUGGUUAAGGUUGUUCCCAAAUUAAUGAAAGACAUUAAGCCACAUAAAUAAGAAAUGCUGUUGACCUCUAAGCAGGAUAAGUUACAAUGAAAGUUAUACUUAAUUACUUCAUAGUAAAACUACUGGAAAACAAAGACUAAUUUUAAAAGUAGCCAGAGGAAAAAUAUAUAUUACUUUCAAAGGAGCAACAGCAAGCCUUGAGAGGGAAUUUUCAGCAGAAGUAAUGAUAGUGGAAAAUGGAAUGGUGUUUUCAAAGAGCUUCAAGAAAAUAAUAGUCAACCUAGAAGACUAUGAGGCAAAAAUAUCCUUCCAAAGACACGUCCAGACAAAGGAAAAUAGAAUUUGCCACCAAUGAAAAGUACCAAAAGUAUGAAAGGAAAGUACUAAAGGGUGUUGUUGGAGCAGAAGGAAAAUGAUCACUGACCACAGCUGGAGGUGCAGAAAGGCAUUGAAAGGCAAUGGAAAGGGUAAGUAUGUGUAUAAAACUAAAUAAAUAUUGAAUGUGUGAAACAACUUUUUACUUUCUGGGGUCUUAAAUAUAUAAAGAACUAAAAUACAUCACCAAGAGAAGCACGUUAAGUGUGGAGGGAGGUAAAUGUAGGGGUCCCCAACAUUUCUGGCACCAGAGACCAGUUUUGUGGAAGAUAAUUUUUUCCCAGACAGUGGGUGGAGGGGUGGAGGGAUUGGGAGCAUGGUGUUGGGAUGACACUGUCCCACCUUAAAUCAUCAGGCAUUAGAUUCUCAUAAGGAGUGCACAACCUAGAUCCCUCACAUGCACAGUUCACAAUAGGGUUAGCGCUCCUAUGAGAAUCUAAUGCUGCUGUUGGUCUGACAGGAGGUGGAGCUCAGGCGGUAAUGCUUGCUGGCUUGCCACCCAUCUCUUGCUGUGCAGCCCAGUUCCUGACAGGCCACUGACCAGUACUGGUUCACAGCCUGGGGACUGUGGACCCCUGGGUAAAUGGAAUUAAAGUAUUCUGAAGUCCUUGAAUUGUCUUGAAAGUGAAAAUGGUGGAGGCACUGAUUUAUAUUAGAAAUUAAUAAAUCAGGGGUACAUGUUUCAGUUUCUACGGUAUUUUGUAAAAGAAUAAGAGUAUGUAAAACUAACAAGAUAACAGAAGGAGAAUAUGAAAUAAAAUAAUCCAAAGGAAGGCAAAAAGAAAAAAAGGCGCAUAGAACAGAUGGGAACAAAUAGAAAACAAACACCCACAUGCAUCAAUCUCUACAUCAAGCAUAUGUGGACUAAAUAUUCCAAUUCAAAGGCAAUAUUAUUAUCACCCUGGAUAAAGAACAAAUAUAAUUCUCUGAGACUUAAAAACAACAUACCUUAAACAAGGAUACAGAAAGAUGGAAAGUAAAAGGAUGGAAAAAGGACUAUCAUGCAAGUAUUAACCAAAAGGAAGCUGGUGUAUUUAGUACACGAAGUGAACUUUCAGGUAUUACCAGAGUAUGAAGGAUAUUUCAUAAUGAUAAAGGGCUUGCUUUACCAGUACUAUACCGAUGGCUGAGGUAUUUGGGCUGUCUGUGAGGCUCAGAUGGGCUGCCUGUGGCCCUGCCUCACCUUGGAGAUGGCCCAGGAAGCUAACUGAGACUUGGAGUUGGUCGAAGAGGAGCCAGACUCUAAAUAUUUGAAGAUUGUGUGCGUAUGUGUGUGUGUGUUUAGGGGAAAACAUGAGAGGUAGAGUACUAUUCAAAAGGACAAGAAGUGGAACAUUUUCUUUUAUAAAUCAAAUAAAUGGUGGCUCUGAGCCUUCCCCCACCUCCUGCCUUUUUUGGGUCCAGAUUGCUAAGAAAUGUUAUUAAUGAUAGCUCACACUUACGACAUUAUUGCCUUCUAAGUGCUUUGUAGGUAUUAAUUUAUUUAAUCCUCACAACAGCCUUAGGAGACAGGCAUCAUCACUACCAUCGCCAUUUUACAGAUGGAAAAACCAGCAACCAUCAGAGCUGGUAUUCAAAAUAAGCCAAUUCAGAUUCCGAGUCCCGGCUCCUAACCAUGGAGUGGCCUCAGGGUUUUAUAGUUUGUCCGGCUCUUUGGAUGAACAUCACACCUCAUGGAGGAGAGUCCCUUCCAUUUUAACGGCUCCAGGUUGUCAUGGAAAUCCUCUGUAUACAAGAGGGUAAGGAGGAGGAUGAGAAGCAAUACAUGCUUAUUGGGACUUUCUAUCAUCCCAGGACUUAUCCAGGUACAUUAUAACAAUGUUGAAUACAGUAUUAGUCCCAUUUUAACUAUGAGGAAAAUAAGGUUUGGACUGUCAGAGACAGAGCAAGACACAUUGGUAAGGGCAGACAAGGGAUUCAUCUGACUCCAAUGCCUCUUCCUUGGUAAACCAGACUGGCUUGUCACACCGUGAAAUUAGAGUCAACUUGUUAAAUCUUGACAGGUUGCUAAAUUAUUAAUUACACCCCCAGGAGCUGUGACUGGAGCAGCAGGGAUGCUAUGGCUGCACUGUACUAUUUUUAGCACUAGAUGGUGCUGUAACACUGCACAUCUCUUCCGCGGUGGCCCUUGGAGGAAGGUUACUUCAGGGCUUGGAGACCCUGGAGGGAAGGAUGCUACCUUACCAGAGCGUGAAAAAAACAUGGAAGACAGGAUACUCUCGGGCCCUGAGAAAGCUGGAGACUGUAGCCACCAGGUGGCUCCAGGAUGUGCAGUACUGGCGUCUGGGUUUUGCUCACACAACCGUGAACUCCUGGUCCCACCGAGCCCUAGCGAGUGGAUUGGAGCACACACCCACCCACCUCCUCAGAGCUCCUACGAGUAGAGGAGGUACCUAGGCACGUGGGAGCUUGGCGCCUUGUUAGGUGCUCAGGAUACUGGUUGUCCGGAAUCCCAGUGAGGUGCAGUCCCGCCCUUGUGCCACUUUCCCAUGCGCUUCCUGCCCCUCUGGGGGCUGCAGAGGCUGCAGAGUUGUCCAGCUUGAGAAACUGUAUCAAGGUUGCUCCCUGACGGCCUGGCAACUCGCUGAAGAGCUGCCUUCAGUUCAGAACAGUUUUAGGGAGAUUGUCAUAAACUCAAUGAGUUUAAAUGAUUUUACACUGACUCUUCAAAAAUGUCAAGGUCAUGAAAGACAAAGGCCGAGGAACUGCCCCAGACUGGAGGAGGCGGGAGACAUGGCAGCUGUGAAUGCACCGUGGGUCCUGAACCAGAAAAAGGAGCUCAGUGGGACGAUUGGUAACUUUUUGAUGCAAUCUGUCGAUUUUGCAUAUAGAAGACGGUAAUUUUAAAAACAGUGAAAGAAGAAAUGUAUCUGAGAAUUCAAUCAGUCAAUAGACUUUAGACAUCUGAAAAGAAAACACAAGAGGUUCGGUUGGUGCAAUGUUCCUUUCUUCCCAGGACUUUCUGGUCUUCAAGGCUUUCUCAUGAGACAGAAGACUGAUGGAUGUAGAAGUUUCUAAGAGGACAGACGGAGCCUUGCUCUGUUGCCCAGGCUGGAAUGCAGUGGC
Molecule: long non-coding RNA, 7831 nt
Filed under: Homo sapiens (human)
Lineage: Eukaryota; Metazoa; Chordata; Mammalia; Primates; Hominidae
Description: HSALNT0340245
Source: RNAcentral